GCAAAAGGCGAUACGUAGUGUAAAUUGCAAAUUUCCGUAAAUCAUCAAUUCUUUGAACGCAUAUGGCGCCGGAGGCCUCGGCCGAGGCCAUGUCUGCCUGAGCGUC
RNAcentral lists this ribosomal RNA (106 nucleotides) under Nephroselmis pyriformis. Its description in RNAcentral is "partial 5.8S ribosomal RNA". It matches the Rfam family "5.8S ribosomal RNA", at positions 48 to 153 of the family's 154-position model. Rfam says of the family: 5.8S ribosomal RNA (5.8S rRNA) is a component of the large subunit of the eukaryotic ribosome. Lineage: Eukaryota; Viridiplantae; Chlorophyta; Nephroselmidophyceae; Nephroselmidales; Nephroselmidaceae. The record is from RNAcentral.